RNAcentral lists this ribosomal RNA (255 nucleotides) under uncultured bacterium. RNAcentral's name for it is "partial 16S ribosomal RNA". It matches the Rfam family "Bacterial small subunit ribosomal RNA", at positions 524 to 776 of the family's 1533-position model. The record is from RNAcentral.
UACGUAGGGUGCAAGCGUUAAUCGGAAUUACUGGGCGUAAAGCGUGCGCAGGCGGUUUUGUAAGUCUGACGUGAAAUCCCCGGGCUCAACCUGGGAAUUGCGUUGGAGACUGCAAGGCUGGAGUCUGGCAGAGGGGGGUAGAAGUUCCACGUGUGAGCAGUGAAAUGCGUAGAGAUGUGGAGGAACACCGAUGGCGAAGGCAGCCCCCUGGGUCAAGACUGACGCUCAUGCACGAAAGCGUGGGGAGCAAACAGG